This is a long non-coding RNA of Eucalyptus grandis, 408 nucleotides long. RefSeq lists it as uncharacterized. The transcript is spliced from 2 exons. NCBI's taxonomy places the organism in Eukaryota, Viridiplantae, Streptophyta, Magnoliopsida, Myrtales, Myrtaceae. The record is from RefSeq and is a predicted model, not a curated record.
GAGCCGGAUCCGGUGGAGUUGCAGCGGGUGGUAUCUUGCGAAUAGAGAGUUGUUGCGGUUCCUCAAGCUUAGGCCCAGAAUGUUCUAAGUGAAGGAAUCUCAAGCCUGCAAAGGGAAGGAAAAUCAACUGGAUGAAGGCUGGAAUUAUAGAAUCCCAAAGGGUCUUAACUGGAUGAUGCUUACGGUGAAGAUGAUGCAGCAGAGGCUUCAUGGAGUUCUGAGUACAUAUGAGUUUUCAUAAAUAAUCAGCAUAUGAUGUACCCCUGUUUUAAGUCAGAUUGAAAUCUUUUAGUCUUGAGUCUACCAUGUGUUCAUUUUGUUUGAUGUAUAUUUUGCUUCUGCUGUGUGCGGAUAUUGUAUCAGUGAUGAGAGAUUGGCAAUGAAUAGGAGCUGUUCAAUUAUGAGAUC